GAAGUUACUCUGAUUCGAAGGACGAUCCACAUUAUAAACUGGAGACAUUAUCCUAUUGACUCUCAGUAUUGAGACGUCAGUUCAGUUUCCUCAGGAUCAGCUGAUGGUGAAUAAGAGCCGCUACAGAGACGUCACAGUCACACAAUCAACACAGACUG
Molecule: long non-coding RNA, 158 nt
Organism: Cyprinus carpio (common carp)
Lineage: Eukaryota; Metazoa; Chordata; Actinopteri; Cypriniformes; Cyprinidae
Exons: 2
Source: RefSeq, a predicted model, not a curated record